Molecule: long non-coding RNA, 716 nt
Organism: Xiphophorus hellerii (green swordtail)
Lineage: Eukaryota; Metazoa; Chordata; Actinopteri; Cyprinodontiformes; Poeciliidae
Exons: 3
Source: RefSeq, a predicted model, not a curated record
AAUAAAUAAAAAUCUUAUAAAAGACUUGCAUACCAAUGUUUCCACAGAGCCAAUUGGUAUCUUAGCGCACUGAAAGAGGGAUGUGAAAACAUUACAAUAAGACUGUUCAAUGAGCUGCCUAAACGACACAUGAACUUGUAUAUCAGAUUUCUCAACAGAGCCUGGAAUGUUCUGACAUGUGCGUUACAAAACAUCUCACUUGCACUGCUAAGCCUGGAUUUCUUAAGCAGAAUUCUCAAAGAGUCUUUAUACACAACCUUAAGCUUCUGCAUGCUAGCUUUUUUAAAUUUACACCACAAAGGAGCUGUAUACAAGGGUGCACAGUAAGCUUUAAACAGGCUUAUUUUUACCUCAUCAGUGCACAUAUGAAAUUUCCUCCCCAGAAUGUUUGCCUGAAUGUACAACAUGCGACACUGCCGACAAAUAUCAUCAUCAUCACAGAGCUGGUCUGUGAUAUAGUGACCCAGGUAUUUAGUUUUGGAACAAACAUUUAACUUUUGCCCUGACAGAAAAAAAUCAGGGAAGCAAAGUUGUUUGUCUGCUUUAGUCCUACAUACUAGUACAACCGUUUUCUUAGCAUUAUACUGCACAUCAAAUCUCAACCCAUAAUCAGAACAGAUAUUCAGUAACUGCUGAAAACCAGCACUGCUGGGUGAGAGUACAGCCAGGUCAUCAGCAUACAUAAAGUCAUUGACCAGAUCUCCCAUUAAAUUGAA